AACCAUUCUCACCUGCGGCUAGACCUGCGGAGGGAUCAUUACACAAUAACAUAUGAAGGCUGUACGCGGCUGCGCCCUCGGGCCAGUUGGCUGAGGCUGGAGUAUUUAUUACCCUUGUCUUUUGCGCACUUGUUGUUUCCUGGGCGGGUUCGCCCGCCACCAGGACCACAUGAUAAACCUUUUUUUAUGCAGUUGCAAUCAGCGUCAGUACAACAAAUGUAAAUCAUUUACAACUUUCAG
Molecule: unclassified non-coding RNA, 240 nt
Filed under: soil metagenome
Description: partial contains 5.8S ribosomal RNA, internal transcribed spacer 2, and large subunit ribosomal RNA
Source: RNAcentral